RNAcentral lists this transfer RNA (73 nucleotides) under Arenimonas composti TR7-09 = DSM 18010. It matches the Rfam family "tRNA". From Rfam's summary of the family: Transfer RNA (tRNA) molecules are approximately 80 nucleotides in length. Their secondary structure includes four short double-helical elements and three loops (D, anti-codon, and T loops). Further hydrogen bonds mediate the characteristic L-shaped molecular structure. tRNAs have two regions of fundamental functional importance: the anti-codon, which is responsible for specific mRNA codon recognition, and the 3' end, to which the tRNAs corresponding amino acid is attached (by aminoacyl-tRNA synthetases). tRNAs cope with the degeneracy of the genetic code in two manners: having more than one tRNA (with a specific anti-codon) for a particular amino acid; and 'wobble' base-pairing, i.e. permitting non-standard base-pairing at the 3rd anti-codon position. The record is from Rfam by way of RNAcentral. Lineage: Bacteria; Pseudomonadati; Pseudomonadota; Gammaproteobacteria; Lysobacterales; Lysobacteraceae.
GCCGGCUUAGCUCAGUUGGUAGAGCAACCGCCUUGUAAGCGGUAGGUCCCCGGUUCGAGUCCGGGAGCCGGCA